CCCUUCACAGACUUAAUACAAAG
This 23-nucleotide non-coding RNA is filed under the name Cricetulus griseus (Chinese hamster). Lineage: Eukaryota; Metazoa; Chordata; Mammalia; Rodentia; Cricetidae. The record is from RNAcentral.